GACGAACGCUGGCGGCGUGCUUAACACAUGCAAGUCGAACGGAAAGGCCCUGCUUUUGUGGGGUGCUCGAGUGGCGAACGGGUGAGUAACACGUGAGUAACCUGCCCUUGACUUUGGGAUAACUUCAGGAAACUGGGGCUCAUACCGGAUAGGAGCUCCUGCUGCAUGGUGGGGGUUGGAAAGUUUCGGCGGUUGGGGAUGGAAUCGCGGCUUAUCAGCUUGUUGGUGGGGUAGUGGCUUACCAAGGCUUUGACGGGUAGCCGGCCUGAGAGGGUGACCGGCCACAUGGGUACUGAGAUACGGCCCAGACGCCUACGGGAGGCAGCAGGGGGGAAUAUUGCACAAUGGGCGGAAGCCUGAUGCAGCAACGCCGCGUGCGGGAUGACGGCCUUCGGGUUGUAAACCGCUUUCGCCUGUGACGAAGCGUGAGUGACGGUAAUGGGUAAAGAAGCACCGGCUAACUACGUG
This 468-nucleotide ribosomal RNA is filed under the name uncultured bacterium. Its description in RNAcentral is "partial 16S ribosomal RNA". It matches the Rfam family "Bacterial small subunit ribosomal RNA", at positions 28 to 507 of the family's 1533-position model. The record is from RNAcentral.